AAACAUCGCCUCUUGCAAACUUAAUAAAUAAGAGGUCCCGCCUGCCCUGUGACUAUUAGUUUAACGGCCGCGGUAUUUUGACCGUGCGAAGGUAGCGCAAUCACUUGUCUUUUAAAUGAAGACCUGUAUGAAUGGCAUAACGAGGGCUUAACUGUCUCCUCUCUCCAGUCAAUGAAAUUGAUCUUCCCGUGCAGAAGCGGGAAUAUAAACAUAAGACGAGAAGACCCUAUGGAGCUUUAGACACCAAGGCAGAUCAUGUUAAUAAUCCUUAAUAACGGAGUAAACCAAAUGGAACCUGCCCUAAUGUCUUUGGUUGGGGCGACCGCGGGGAAUUAAAAAACCCCCACGUGGAAUGGGAGCACCCCCCUACAACUAAGAGCUACAGCUCUAGUAAACAGAAAUUCUGACCAGCAAGAUCCGGCAAUGCCGAUCAACGGACCGAGUUACCCUAGGGAUAACAGCGCAAUCCUCUUUUAGAGCCCAUAUCGACAAGAGGGUUUACGACCUCGAUGUUGGAUCAGGACAUCCUAAUGGUGCAGCCGCUAUUAAGGGUUCGUUUGUUCAACGAUUAAAGUCCUACGUGAUCUG
RNAcentral lists this ribosomal RNA (588 nucleotides) under Opisthocentrus ocellatus. Its description in RNAcentral is "partial 16S ribosomal RNA". It matches the Rfam family "Bacterial large subunit ribosomal RNA", at positions 1811 to 2607 of the family's 2925-position model. Lineage: Eukaryota; Metazoa; Chordata; Actinopteri; Perciformes; Stichaeidae. The record is from RNAcentral.